Molecule: ribosomal RNA, 301 nt
Filed under: uncultured bacterium
Lineage: Bacteria
Description: partial 16S ribosomal RNA
Rfam family: Bacterial small subunit ribosomal RNA
Source: RNAcentral
CAGCCGCCGCGGUAAUACGUAGGUGGCAAGCGUUGUCCGGAAUUAUUGGGCGUAAAGGGCUCGCAGGCGGUUUCUUAAGUCUGAUGUGAAAGCCCCCGGCUCAACCGGGGAGGGUCAUUGGAGACUGGGAAACCUGAGUGCAGAAGAGGAGAGUGGAAUUCCACGUGUAGCGGUGAAAUGCGUAGAGAUGUGGAGGAACACCAGUGGCGAAGGCGACUCUCUGGUCUGUAACUUACGCUGAGGAGCGAAAGCGUGGGGAGCGAACAGGAUUAGAUACCCGCGUAGUCCCUGUCUCUUAUAC